Molecule: ribosomal RNA, 253 nt
Filed under: uncultured bacterium
Lineage: Bacteria
Description: partial 16S ribosomal RNA
Rfam family: Bacterial small subunit ribosomal RNA
Source: RNAcentral
UACGUAGGGUGCAAGCGUUAAUCGGAAUUACUGGGCGUAAAGCGUGCGCAGGCGGCUUUGCAAGACAGAUGUGAAAUCCCCGGGCUUAACCUGGGAACUGCGUUUGAUACGGAUGGGCUAGAGUUCGGGAGAGGAGCGUGGAAUUCCCAGUGUAGAGGUGAAAUUCGUAGAUAUUGGGAAGAACACCGGUGGCGAAGGCGGCGCUCUGGACCGAGACUGACGCUGAGGCGCGAAAGCGUGGGGAGCAAACAGG